AAUAAAAUUCUUCCUGUUUGCAGCCCUGUUUGCGGUUGGUGGCAGCGAUGGACACUGCAGCCAGCCAUAGCGUAUAAAGGCGUCGGGUCAAAGAAGAUGGCCACGGAGACAGCAGUGUGGUCAGAGUGGUAGGAGCCAGCCAUCAGCGAGAGCUGCUCCGUGCCUGGCUGCUGGGUGCUAGAGCCUGCAGCCCACUGGCUCGUCUCACUGUGAUUGGUGGUGGCAGUGACAAAGACUGCAGCACGACCAGAGUGGCUUUUCUGGCUUUUCCCACCCAGCUGCUCCAUGCCAGGAGGAGGAGGAGACACCUAGAGCCUGCGACACCACGGCUCGCCUCGCUGCUGGUGGGUGGCAGCGACGGAGACUGUAGUGUGCCGGAGCAGUAGGAGAGCGGCCGUGCUAGGAAGGCAGGCGGCUGCAGCCAGGGUUGGGGGUCAGGCUUACAGCGAUGGACGGGCUGCAGCAGUGGCCAGGUGUAGGAUCCUUGUAGGGAGGGCUGGUGCAUUGGCAAUGGGCCUGGCCUUGCCUUGCCCCUGCCGUGGAUCUGGCCCUGUACUGCCCUGCCUUGCCCUGUACCUGCCCUACUGUUACCUGGACUGUCUCGGCCCUGUCCUGUUCUGGUCCCAUCCUGACCCUGUCUUGGCCCUGUGCUACCCUGUCCCUGCCCUGGUCUUGCCUUGGCACUGGCCCUGCCCUGAACCUGCACUGGCCUGGGCUUGGCUCUGGCCCUGCCCCUUGUCCUGACCCUGGUCCUGUCAUGGCACUGGCCCUGCCAAUGGUCAUGGUCCUGCUCCUGUUCUGGCCCUGACCUGGCCUUGGACAUAUUCUGGCCCUGCUUUGGCCCAUCCCUGCCCUGGCCCCACCAUGGGCCUGCCUGUUCUGCCCUCUCCUGGCACUGACCUUGCCCUGUCAUGGCCCAGUGGUGCCAUUGCCCUGCCUUACCCUGCACUGGUUGUGCCUUGGCCCUGCUUGGUGCUAGCUGCUUCCUGGACCUGCCCUGACCCUGCCUUGGCUUUUGCCCUGCCUUCACUAUGGCCUGGCCCUGGCUCUAGCCCUGGUCCUGCCAUAUCCCUAGCCCUGCUCUUAUCCAGGCCCUGCCCCUGCUGCUGCCCUGGCCCUGGCCUGGAACCUGGUCCUGUCAAGGACCUGCCCUGACUCUGCCAUGGCCCUG
Molecule: long non-coding RNA, 1171 nt
Organism: Symphalangus syndactylus (siamang)
Lineage: Eukaryota; Metazoa; Chordata; Mammalia; Primates; Hylobatidae
Source: RefSeq, a predicted model, not a curated record